CGCUCGCGCGCAACGCU
Molecule: ribosomal RNA, 17 nt
Filed under: Cognettia chlorophila
Lineage: Eukaryota; Metazoa; Annelida; Clitellata; Enchytraeida; Enchytraeidae
Also listed under: 1 other name
Description: partial 18S ribosomal RNA
Source: RNAcentral